Molecule: long non-coding RNA, 1716 nt
Filed under: Homo sapiens (human)
Lineage: Eukaryota; Metazoa; Chordata; Mammalia; Primates; Hominidae
Description: non-protein coding lnc-IGFBPL1-1:1
Source: RNAcentral
GGGUCUCCCUAUGUUGCCGCCCAGGCUGGUCUCAAAUUCCUAUGCUCAAAUGAUCCUCCUGCCUUGGCCUCCCAAAGUGCUGGGAUUAUAGGCAUCAGCCACUGUGCUUGGCCUAGCCUAGCAUUCUCUAAACAGGUGGUUAGAAGCGGUGGAUACCAGGCUUCUGACGAUCAAAUUGUAAAAAAAGGGGUCAGGUGUUAUCUCCAGACUGUGGAAUUAGAUUGUAGUAGAAUAUAUUUUACCUACAAACAUUUUGACCUCACCCAAGAGUAAGGCUCUCUUUUUUUUCUUUUUUAAUGAAAAAAGAAAGGAGAAUAUUUGCUAUCUUAUCUUAAAAAAAUAGAUCCUUAGGUGAUUACAAUUUUAAAAUAAGAAUUGAGAGCCCUUACUAUGCACAGUCCUUUAAGUUCAUAAAGCUUGAUCCCAACUCUGGGAGAUGGGGCAGGACAGGUGUUAAUGUCCCUGCCUUUAGCAGAUGAAGAAACCAGGCUCUGAGAGGAGAAGCUACUUGCCCAAGGCCUGAAGGCCUCUGAAAGAGGAGCAGAGCUCAGGGCACCUGGCCCUCCUUGGUCCCCUCUCUACUCCACGGUGCUGCUACUCAGGGUCAUCUCAAAACUAUGUAAAGGCAGAUGUUGCCAAUCCACAGGCUUCAGGGACUCUUAUCAAGACUCAUCCCAACUUUUAAGGCACACUUUCACACCGCUCACAUUGUGCAUUACAUUUUGGAGUCCUUGUUGGAAGUGAACUUUCCGCCUGUAAGCCUGCCAUUCCAUGUCUAAUAUAUUGGGAUGGCAUCACCUUCUGUACUAUGCAGCAGAAGGAGACUGGCCUGGGAUUCUGGAAACAUGAGAUCCAUUUGCAUAUUAAUCCCCGGCUCGCUGUGUGACCCUGAGCAAGUCUCCUUCACUUUCUGUGCCUCAGUGUCCUUAUUUGAGUAAAAAGGGAAUAAAACUAGAUGAGUGGUUUUCAAACUUUAAAACACUGGAAGCUCUCUUUGAAAACAAAAGAUGAGAAUUGAAAUGGAUGGCACUGGAAGCUGUUCUUGUCUACUGGGGUUUGGAGCUGCCAGGGGACCUGCUCACAUCCACUCCUCACUCAGCCCCUCCCGCCCCUCCCUUCUCCACGCACUGUGACUGACUUCCAUGUGUGAAGGCCUGCAGUUAAUUCUCCUGUGUCUUGAAUGGUUGGGAGAUGAGUUGGUCAGACCCUUAGUGAAAUGAUGUGGGAAGGAACAGGAAUGCUGUGGCUCUGAAGAAGGUAGUAGAACAUCCCACACCUGCUAAUAAGCACAUUUUGCAAACUCAGUUGACUCACCUCAGAUUUGCCUAGUGAAAACUGAAGGGCUGGAUGUAGACCCAGAGAGCAGGGUGGACAGAGCCCAUGCUGGAAGUACUGAGCAUCAGGACUGUAUGGGGCUGGCUUUAGCAUCAUCAUUCUGUGCAAAGACAAAUAAUUAAUGUCACACUGUCUGAAAUUUUCACCAAAACCAAAAAGGCGCAUUAACAUGAUUGUUCCAACCUCAUGGUUUUUCAAGUGUGAGCGCCCAGAGACCUCUUCAGAGGCUAAGAGAGCAUGCGCUGCCACAGCUGUUAGCAUUUGGAGACGUAAUUACAAUGCCCCCACUCCCCGCACCAAACCUGGGUUUUUCUACCGUUUUUGUAGAUGUCAUGAUGUCACGACCCCUGCACCCUGAAAAAAAUAAAUGUUUUUAAGGAC